RNAcentral lists this ribosomal RNA (253 nucleotides) under uncultured bacterium. Its description in RNAcentral is "partial 16S ribosomal RNA". It matches the Rfam family "Bacterial small subunit ribosomal RNA", at positions 524 to 776 of the family's 1533-position model. The record is from RNAcentral.
UACGGAGGAUGCAAGCGUUAUCCGGAUUCAUUGGGUUUAAAGGGUGCGUAGGCGGAAUAAUAAGUCAGUGGUGAAAGCCUGCGGCUUAACCGUAGAAUUGCCAUUGAUACUGUUAUUCUUGAGUAUAGUUGAGGUGGGCGGAAUGUGUAAUGUAGCGGUGAAAUGCUUAGAUAUUACACAGAACACCAAUUGCGAAGGCAGCUCACUAAGCUGUUACUGACGCUGAGGCACGAAAGCGUGGGGAGUAAACAGG